RNAcentral lists this ribosomal RNA (460 nucleotides) under uncultured bacterium. RNAcentral describes it as "partial 16S ribosomal RNA". It matches the Rfam family "Bacterial small subunit ribosomal RNA", at positions 338 to 795 of the family's 1533-position model. The record is from RNAcentral.
CCUACGGGAGGCAGCAGUGAGGAAUAUUGGUCAAUGGACGCAAGUCUGAACCAGCCAUUCCGCGUGCAGGAAGACGGCUCUAUGAGUUGUAAACUGCUUUUGUACGAGGGUAAACGCAGAUACGCGUAUCUGUCUGAAAGUAUCGUACGAAUAAGGAUCGGCUAACUCCGUGCCAGCAGCCGCGGUAAUACGGAGGAUUCAAGCGUUAUCCGGAUUUAUUGGGUUUAAAGGGUGCGUAGGCGGUCGGAUAAGUUAGAGGUGAAAUCCCGAGGCUCAACUUCGGAAUGGCCUCUGAGAGUGUUAGGCUAGAGAGUAGUUGCGGUAGGCGGAAUGUAUGGUGUAGCGGUGAAAUGCUUAGAGAUCAGACAGAACACCGAUUGCGAAGGCAGCUUACCAAGCUACUUCUGACGUUGAGGCACGAAAGCGUGGGGAGCAAACAGGAUUAGAUACCCGAGUAGUC